This is a long non-coding RNA of Helicoverpa zea (corn earworm), 728 nucleotides long. RefSeq lists it as uncharacterized. The record is from RefSeq and is a predicted model, not a curated record. The transcript is spliced from 2 exons. Lineage: Eukaryota; Metazoa; Arthropoda; Insecta; Lepidoptera; Noctuidae.
UUUAGUGGCCGCAAGUGAAAUGGAUUUUUUGACAUUUGAUUGACAGUUGACAGUUCUGUGAUUUGCAUCGGCGCAGUCCUUCGUUGUUGCGCUUGCGUUUCGUUGUGUACUGUGCUAUUUCGUGUGUGUUUCUUCUUAUUACGACCCUAUUUACCACCCCUUGACGCCGAUAUCUUCCUCAUCUGACGACCUUUGCUUACCAUACCUGACACCGUUAUAAAUCCGCCCUGUUGACAAUUGGUUGACAAUGCCGCCAUCAGCAAGUCGACGUAUACUUUGCAUAAACUGCAAUGUCUGUAUAAAUACGUUCCGACGUUAUCUCGUUCAAGAGCUGAACACAAGGGUUAUUUCGUUACUUAGCGAGUGGAUAUCACCAGUAAUUAUUACUGAGGACGAUUACAUUUGUGAACCUUGUAAUGAACUCCUCAUGAGGAGCAUAAACCAGCAAUUAACAACAAGCUGUGAUGGUGCUCAGGCUUCUGGGUCAUCUCAACUUGGACGUUGACAAGUGUGCAGUAUUUGUGGACGGUCUACUUAUUGACAAUCCUUCAGAAGAGCAAAGACAGAUUAAUGCUGUUAUACAAACAAGAAUUGCGCCACGUCAGGUACCUAUUUAUGUUUCUAUAUUGUUUAUUAUCAUAUUUCUUCUUGAUAAAAAUGAUCAUAACUGUCAGUGAUUGACCUGUGCUGUAAUAGUUAUAACCACAAAUAAAAAAUAAUGUACAUAA